GACAGAGGGUGCAAACGUUGUUCGGAAUUACUGGGCGUAAAGCGCGUGUAGGCGGCUAUGCAAGUCGGGUGUGAAAGCCCUGGGCUUAACCUAGGAAGUGCACUCGAAACUGCAUAGCUCGAGUCCCGGAGAGGAUGGUGGAAUUCUCGGUGUAGAGGUGAAAUUCGUAGAUAUCGAGAGGAACACCGGUGGCGAAGGCGGCCAUCUGGACGGGUACUGACGCUGAGACGCGAAAGCGUGGGUAGCAAACAGG
This 253-nucleotide ribosomal RNA is filed under the name uncultured bacterium. RNAcentral describes it as "partial 16S ribosomal RNA". It matches the Rfam family "Bacterial small subunit ribosomal RNA", at positions 524 to 776 of the family's 1533-position model. The record is from RNAcentral.